RNAcentral lists this ribosomal RNA (433 nucleotides) under uncultured bacterium. RNAcentral describes it as "partial 16S ribosomal RNA". It matches the Rfam family "Bacterial small subunit ribosomal RNA", at positions 29 to 507 of the family's 1533-position model. The record is from RNAcentral.
AACGAACGCUGGCGGCAUGCCUAACACAUGCCAGUCGAACGAGACCUUCGGGUCUAGUGGCGUACGGGUGCGUAACGCGUGGGAACCUGCCCUUAGGUUCGGAAUAACUCCCCGAAAGGGGUGCUAAUACCGGAUAAUGUCUUCGGACCAAAGAUUUAUCGCCUUUGGAUGGGCCCGCGUUGGAUUAGCUAGUUGGUAGGGUAAAAGCCUACCAAGGCGACGAUCCAUAGCUGGUCUGAGAGGAUGAUCAGCCACACUGGGACUGAGACACGGCCCAGACUCCUACGGGAGGCAGCAGUGGGGAAUAUUGGACAAUGGGCGAAAGCCUGAUCCAGCAAUGCCGCGUGAGUGAUGAAGGCCUUAGGGUUGUAAAGCUCUUUUACCCGGGAUGAUAAUGACAGUACCGGGAGAAUAAGCUCCGGCUAACUCCGUG